AAGGAAUAUUGGUUCCAUAUGGAGGGAACUCUGAACCAGCCAUGCCGCGUGCAGGAAGACGGCCCUCUGGGUUGUAAACUGCUUUUAUUCGGGGAAUAAACCUAUUUACGUGUAAAUAGCUGAAUGUACCGAAGGAAUAAGGAUCGGCUAACUCCGUGCCAGCAGCCGCGGUAAUACGGAGGAUCCAAGCGUUAUCCGGAUUUAUUGGGUUUAAAGGGUGCGUAGGCGGCUUAUUAAGUCAGGGGUGAAAGACGGUGGCUCAACCAUCGCAGUGCCCUUGAUACUGAUGAGCUUGAAUGGACUAGAGGUAGGCGGAAUGUGACAAGUAGCGGUGAAAUGCAUAGAUAUGUCACAGAACACCGAUUGCGAAGGCAGCUUACUAUGGUCUUAUUGACGCUGAGGCACGAAAGCGUGGGGAUCAAACAGGAUUAGAUAC
RNAcentral lists this ribosomal RNA (436 nucleotides) under uncultured Pedobacter sp. RNAcentral's name for it is "bacterial SSU rRNA". It matches the Rfam family "Bacterial small subunit ribosomal RNA", at positions 356 to 785 of the family's 1533-position model. Lineage: Bacteria; Pseudomonadati; Bacteroidota; Sphingobacteriia; Sphingobacteriales; Sphingobacteriaceae. The record is from RNAcentral.